This 720-nucleotide ribosomal RNA is filed under the name uncultured marine bacterium. RNAcentral describes it as "bacterial SSU rRNA". It matches the Rfam family "Bacterial small subunit ribosomal RNA", at positions 36 to 802 of the family's 1533-position model. The record is from RNAcentral.
CUGGCGGCAGGCCUAAUACAUGCAAGUCGAGCGCAUUCUUCGGAAUGAGCGGCGGACGGGUGAGUAACGCGUGGGAAUAUGCCCUUCUCUAAGGAAUAGCCUCUGGAAACGGAGAGUAAUACCUUAUACGCCCUUCGGGGGAAAGAUUUAUCGGAGAAGGAUUAGCCCGCGUUAGAUUAGGUAGUUGGUGGGGUAAUGGCCUACCAAGCCUACGAUCUAUAGCUGGUUUGAGAGGAUGAUCAGCCACACUGGGACUGAGACACGGCCCAGACUCCUACGGGAGGCAGCAGUGGGGAAUCUUAGACAAUGGGCGCAAGCCUGAUCUAGCCAUGCCGCGUGAGUGAAGAAGGCCUUAGGGUCGUAAAACUCUUUCGCCAGAGAUGAUAAUGACAGUAUCUGGUAAAGAAACCCCGGCUAACUCCGUGCCAGCAGCCGCGGUAAUACGGAGGGGGUUAGCGUUGUUCGGAAUUACUGGGCGUAAAGCGCACGUAGGCGGACUGGAAAGUUGGGGGUGAAAUCCCGGGGCUCAACCUCAGAACUGCCUCCAAAACUAUCAGUCUAGAGUUCGAGAGAGGUGAGUGGAAUUCCAAGUGUAGAGGUGAAAUUCGUAGAUAUUUGGAGGAACACCAGUGGCGAAAGCGGCUCACUGGCUCGAUACUGACGCUGAGGUGCGAAAGUGUGGGGAGCAAACAGGAUUAGAUACCCUGGUAGUCCACACCG